Molecule: ribosomal RNA, 253 nt
Filed under: uncultured bacterium
Lineage: Bacteria
Description: partial 16S ribosomal RNA
Rfam family: Bacterial small subunit ribosomal RNA
Source: RNAcentral
UACGAAGGGGGCUAGCGUUGCUCGGAAUCACUGGGCGUAAAGCGCACGUAGGCGGUUUGCUAAGUCAGGGGUGAAAUCCUGGAGCUCAACUCCAGAACUGCCUUUGAUACUGGCGAUCUUGGGUCCGGGAGAGGUGAGUGGAACUGCGAGUGUAGAGGUGAAAUUCGUAGAUAUUCGCAAGAACACCAGUGGCGAGGGCGGCUCACUGGCCCGGUACUGACGCUGAGGUGCGAAAGCGUGGGGAGCAAACAGG